Molecule: ribosomal RNA, 484 nt
Filed under: uncultured bacterium
Lineage: Bacteria
Description: partial 16S ribosomal RNA
Rfam family: Bacterial small subunit ribosomal RNA
Source: RNAcentral
AUUGAACGCUGGCGGCAGGCCUAACACAUGCAAGUCGAGCGGAUGAAGGGAGCUUGCUCCUGGAUUCAGCGGCGGACGGGUGAGUAAUGCCUAGGAAUCUGCCUGGUAGUGGGGGAUAACCUCCGGAAACGGGCGCUAAUACCGCAUACGUCCUGAGGGAGAAAGUGGGGGAUCUUCGGACCUCACGCUAUCAGAUGAGCCUAGGUCGGAUUAGCUAGUUGGUGGGGUAAAGGCCUACCAAGGCGACGAUCCGUAACUGGUCUGAGAGGAUGAUCAGUCACACUGGAACUGAGACACGGUCCAGACUCCUACGGGAGGCAGCAGUGGGGAAUAUUGGACAAUGGGCGAAAGCCUGAUCCAGCCAUGCCGCGUGUGUGAAGAAGGUCUUCGGAUUGUAAAGCACUUUAAGUUGGGAGGAAGGGCAGUAAGUUAAUACCUUGCUGUUUUGACGUUACCAACAGAAUAAGCACCGGCUAACUUCGUG